UCACAUUUAGUUUUUUUUUAGACAUAAAUAUCACCAUGGCCUAAUUAAUCACCUGAAAGCUAUUAAUUACGUCUGAUUAUUUGGUAUUUAUAAAUAUUAUCUCCUAAAUGUUUUAAAAAAAACGGUUUAGCAUUCGUUUAGGUCUAUCGUCUAGGUGUUGAGUGUGUUAGGUGACGUCUAAACGACCAUUUUAGUCGACUAUAAUCGUAUAAAUCUCGUUUUAGAAAGAAAAAAAAAAAAAACAGGUCACCUCUCUAAUUUUGACCCCAAACGAAUAUAUACGAUGAAACUCAAAUAAUUAAUAACCAUGUUCAAA
This 316-nucleotide long non-coding RNA is filed under the name Capsella rubella. RNAcentral's name for it is "long non-coding RNA (CRUB_LNC001473)". The record is from RNAcentral. Lineage: Eukaryota; Viridiplantae; Streptophyta; Magnoliopsida; Brassicales; Brassicaceae.